Molecule: ribosomal RNA, 253 nt
Filed under: uncultured bacterium
Lineage: Bacteria
Description: partial 16S ribosomal RNA
Rfam family: Bacterial small subunit ribosomal RNA
Source: RNAcentral
UACGGAGGGGGCUAGCGUUGUUCGGAAUUACUGGGCGUAAAGCGCACGUAGGCGGCUUUGUAAGUUAGAGGUGAAAGCCUGGAGCUCAACUCCAGAACUGCCUUUAAGACUGCAUCGCUUGAAUCCAGGAGAGGUGAGUGGAAUUCCGAGUGUAGAGGUGAAAUUCGUAGAUAUUCGGAAGAACACCAGUGGCGAAGGCGGCUCACUGGACUGGUAUUGACGCUGAGGUGCGAAAGCGUGGGGAGCAAACAGG